This 24-nucleotide non-coding RNA is filed under the name Arabidopsis thaliana (thale cress). Lineage: Eukaryota; Viridiplantae; Streptophyta; Magnoliopsida; Brassicales; Brassicaceae. The record is from RNAcentral.
ACUGUUUACACGCAGCAGAAGAUG